CAUGGAUCGAUGAUGUGAUUCUUAACUGCGUUAUCUAUCUUUAAAUCUUCUCAAGUACUGAAGAAAACAUUACCUGCUGAGAUCCAAG
Non-coding RNA from Triticum aestivum (bread wheat), 88 nucleotides. The record is from Rfam. NCBI's taxonomy places the organism in Eukaryota, Viridiplantae, Streptophyta, Magnoliopsida, Poales, Poaceae.